This 416-nucleotide unclassified non-coding RNA is filed under the name soil metagenome. Its description in RNAcentral is "partial contains 5.8S ribosomal RNA, internal transcribed spacer 2, and large subunit ribosomal RNA". The stretch from base 1 to 120 matches the Rfam family "5.8S ribosomal RNA", at positions 35 to 154 of the family's 154-position model. The record is from RNAcentral.
GAUGAAGAACGCAGCGAAAUGCGAUAAGUAAUGUGAAUUGCAGAAUUCAGUGAAUCAUCGAAUCUUUGAACGCACCUUGCACUCCUUGGUAUUCCGAGGAGUACGCCUGUUCGAGUGUUAUGAAGCUCUCAAAACGCAAUUGGCUUAAAACCUGAUUGUUGUUUUGGAUUUGAACUUUGCCGUGUUAUAACGGCUGGUUUUAAAAGUAUUAGCUGGUACUAGAACGAAUUGGUUCUACUCAACGUGAUAAUUUUCUGAUCGUUGAGGACAUUCCUUUCACGAGGAAUGGCCAUAGUAAAUUCAAUGGACUGCUUCUAAUCUGGCUUUAAUUCUUUAUUGGAUUAACCACUUUUCAAAUCUGACCUCGAAUCAGGUGGGACUACCCGCUGAACUUAAGCAUAUCAAUAAGCGGAGGA